UACGUAGGUGGCAAGCGUUGUCCGGAAUUAUUGGGCGUAAAGCGCGCGCAGGUGGUUUCUUAAGUCUGAUGUGAAAGCCCACGGCUCAACCGUGGAGGGUCAUUGGAAACUGGGGAACUUGAGUGCAGGAGAGGAAAGUGGAAUUCCAAGUGUAGCGGUGAAAUGCGUAGAGGUUUGGAGGAACACCAGUGGCGAAGGCGACUUUCUGGUCUGUAACUGACACUGAGGCGCGAAAGCGUGGGGAGCGAACAGG
Molecule: ribosomal RNA, 253 nt
Filed under: uncultured bacterium
Lineage: Bacteria
Description: partial 16S ribosomal RNA
Rfam family: Bacterial small subunit ribosomal RNA
Source: RNAcentral